RNAcentral lists this ribosomal RNA (209 nucleotides) under uncultured bacterium. RNAcentral's name for it is "partial 16S ribosomal RNA". It matches the Rfam family "Bacterial small subunit ribosomal RNA", at positions 568 to 776 of the family's 1533-position model. The record is from RNAcentral.
AGCGUAGACGGAGUGGCAGGUCUGAUGUGAAAACCCGGGGCUCAACCCCGGGACUGCAUUGGAAACUGUCAAUCUAGAGUACCGGAGAGGUAAGCGGAAUUCCUAGUGUAGCGGUGAAAUGCGUAGAUAUUAGGAGGAACACCAGUGGCGAAGGCGGCUUACUGGACGGUAACUGACGUUGAGGCUCGAAAGCGUGGGGAGGCAAAACA